RNAcentral lists this ribosomal RNA (496 nucleotides) under uncultured bacterium. Its description in RNAcentral is "partial 16S ribosomal RNA". It matches the Rfam family "Bacterial small subunit ribosomal RNA", at positions 30 to 523 of the family's 1533-position model. The record is from RNAcentral.
AUUGAACGCUGGCGGAAUGCUUUACACAUGCAAGUCGAACGGUAGAGGGGGCAACCCCUCGAGAGUGGCGAACGGGUGAGUAAUAUAUCGGAACGUGCCCAGUCGUGGGGGAUAACGAAGCGAAAGUUACGCUAAUACCGCAUACGAUCUACGGAUGAAAGCGGGGGAUCGCAAGACCUCGCGCGAUUGGAGCGGCCGAUAUCAGAUUAGGUAGUUGGUGGGGUAAAGGCUCACCAAGCCAACGAUCUGUAGCUGGUCUGAGAGGACGACCAGCCACACUGGAACUGAGACACGGUCCAGACUCCUACGGGAGGCAGCAGUGGGGAAUUUUGGACAAUGGACGCAAGUCUGAUCCAGCCAUUCCGCGUGCAGGAUGAAGGCCCUCGGGUUGUAAACUGCUUUUGUACGGAAUGAAAAGGUUUCCAUUAAUACUGGGAGCUCAUGACGGUACCGUAAGAAUAAGCACCGGCUAACUACGUGCCAGCCGCCGCAGUAA